This 253-nucleotide ribosomal RNA is filed under the name uncultured bacterium. Its description in RNAcentral is "partial 16S ribosomal RNA". It matches the Rfam family "Bacterial small subunit ribosomal RNA", at positions 524 to 776 of the family's 1533-position model. The record is from RNAcentral.
UACAGAGAUCCCGAGCGUUGUUCGGAUUCAUUGGGCGUAAAGGGUGCGUAGGUGGCGCUGUAAGUGGGGUGUGAAAUCCCGGGGCUUAACUCCGGAACUGCAUUCCAUACUGCGGUGCUUGAGGACUGGAGAGGAGACUGGAAUUUACGGUGUAGCAGUGAAAUGCGUAGAUAUCUGGAGGAACACCGGUGGCGAAGGCGGCGUUCUGGACUGUUACUGACACUGAGGAACGAAAGCCAGGGGAGCAAACGGG